GGCUCUUGAUGCAUAUGCCAAGUAGUUAUGGAGAAAGACACAGCAGCUUACCUCUGCAGGCAUCAUUGUGUGAAAGGAAGACCCAGGCUCUCUCACCACCCUUGAACAGAAGCCUUUUGCUAAGGUGAUAGCUACAUGUCCAAGCCUAUUGCGUGGCAUGCAUUUUGCCUUCUGCAGCCCACUAAAGGAAAUUGAAGUAUACAGAAUGCUUAUUUGGUCUACUCAGUAUCAUCCUAAAUGUAUGUACCAAUGCUUAGGAGUUUGCAGUUCACCCGCAAACCUCAGCGAUCCAAGCUCCCCUGGAUGACCAUCACUCACCAAGAAAAGAGCAAUAACAGGACCUGUUUUGCUAAUCCAGGACUGUUCUCCAGCACUAACUCUAAAUAAUCCCUUCUGCUAGAGUCCACUUUCUGGAACCUGUUGUGAGUAUUGUGAAUUGUUCUCCAACCUCUAUUCUAGUUAUCUCAUUUCCAUUGAGACUAGCAAAAGCACUUGCUUGAGAUUCUGUGUUCAAGUUUCAACUUUAG
Molecule: long non-coding RNA, 527 nt
Filed under: Homo sapiens (human)
Lineage: Eukaryota; Metazoa; Chordata; Mammalia; Primates; Hominidae
Description: non-protein coding lnc-CMPK2-5:78
Source: RNAcentral